RNAcentral lists this long non-coding RNA (199 nucleotides) under Solanum tuberosum (potato). Its description in RNAcentral is "long non-coding RNA (STUB_LNC005778)". The record is from RNAcentral. Lineage: Eukaryota; Viridiplantae; Streptophyta; Magnoliopsida; Solanales; Solanaceae.
CUUCUCUAUUUUUUGUGUAUCUUCAAGUGUUCAAUUACUACUCUAUUUAUAGAGUUUUGAACCUCUUGAUUACAUCAUUAGUGACAUAAAUGUGGCAGCCAAUUUUCACAAAAUUUGGCUGCCAAACUCUACCAACUUCCACAAAUGUGGCCACCAACUUUCACAUUUUGGCUAUCAAAUUUCACAUUUGUGGCUAGUA